CAGAACGAACGCUGGCGGCAGGCCUAACACAUGCAAGUCGAGCGCAGUCCUUCGGGACCGAGCGGCGGACGGGUUAGUAACGCGUGGGAACAUACCCUUUUCUACGGAAUAGCCUCGGGAAACUGAGAGUAAUACCGUAUAAGCCCUUCGGGGGAAAGAUUUAUCGGGAAAGGAUUGGCCCGCGUUAGAUUAGAUAGUUGGUGGGGUAAUGGCCUACCAAGUCUACGAUCUAUAGCUGGUUUUAGAGGAUGAUCAGCAACACUGGGACUGAGACACGGCCCAGACUCCUACGGGAGGCAGCAGUGGGGAAUCUUAGACAAUGGGCGCAAGCCUGAUCUAGCCAUGCCGCGUGUGUGAUGAAGGUCUUAGGAUCGUAAAGCACUUUCGCCAGGGAUGAUAAUGACAGUACCUGGUAAAGAAACCCCGGCUAACUCCGUGCCAGCAGCCGCGGUAAUACGGAGGGGGUUAGCGUUGUUCGGAAUUACUGGGCGUAAAGCGUACGUAGGCGGAUCAGAAAGUAGGGGGUGAAAUCCCAGGGCUCAACCCUGGAACUGCCUCCUAAACUCCUGGUCUUGAGUUCGAGAGAGGUGAGUGGAAUUCCAAGUGUAGAGGUGAAAUUCGUAGAUAUUUGGAGGAACACCAGUGGCGAAGGCGGCUCACUGGCUCGAUACUGACGCUGAGGUACGAAAGUGUGGGGAGCAAACAGGAUUAGAUACCCUGGUAGUCCACACCGUAAACGAUGAAUGCCAGUCGUCGGGCAGUAUACUGUUCGGUGACACACCUAACGGAUUAAGCAUCC
RNAcentral lists this ribosomal RNA (799 nucleotides) under uncultured Sulfitobacter sp. RNAcentral's name for it is "bacterial SSU rRNA". It matches the Rfam family "Bacterial small subunit ribosomal RNA", at positions 25 to 869 of the family's 1533-position model. The record is from RNAcentral. Lineage: Bacteria; Pseudomonadati; Pseudomonadota; Alphaproteobacteria; Rhodobacterales; Roseobacteraceae.